CAUGCAUUGACUACAUUUGAUCUGCAACACGUUUGAGUUCUUAAAAAAAAGAAAAAAAAAAGAAAAGGUAUUUCUGUAUAGAAAAUAAUUUAUAUCGGUCAAUCCUGGUUUACCUAGAUGGUUCUUACUAUUUUUUAUGUUUUUUUUUUUUGGCAAUGUCUUCAAAAGCAUUUAUUUGCUUCUAAAUGAAGGGAACACACCUUAGCAGAAAUGCUCAGGGAAAUAGGGCUAUGUAAAUGCAUAACGAAUGCUAGAUUUUAAUUAAAUGAAGAUUCUACUCUACCAGCCAGUGUACUUUCUGCAGGUUACUGUACUAAGUUAGCGAUACAGCACUUGAAGUUAUCCUUAAGUAUAUAUAUAUAGAUGUUACAAGCUACUGGAUACACUGUCAGAUAGUCCUUUUUCAUUAAGGAAGUUGGGAGAACAAAAGUCUUAUUUUUCUAGUAAUUAUUAAUGUAUUACAUUUCAAAUAAUGGUGCCUGACAUAUUAAAUAAUUAUUUUCUACUAUGUACGUAUGCAACAACGAUAUUCCAUCAUUGCAUUAGAGUCAGUUUGGCUCAGCCUCACUGUUUACAUUUGCAGAUGUAGCGAAUACGGUUGUGAAGCAAAUCUUUCUAUUGCAUUAGGUAAAGUUUCUUUGUGCAUUAAAGGUAUAAUCUGUUACAUGAAACAAAUUUAUUUGUUAGUAAAAUGGGAUGGAAUAUGAGAAGGAAAUUGAGAUAUUUUUAUGCCUAUUUAGGAUAAAAGGGUAGCACUAUUCAUUCCAAUUACUUUUGUAUUCUUAAAUGUUAAUUCACAUUGUUACGCUUCAGAAUGAUGCACAUAUAUCCUCUUUAUUGCUUGUGUCUAUGUUUCAUACGAAACAUUUCAUAAUUCUGUUAUGUGCUGUGUGAAUUGCAGCUGAUGUUUUGUGUAUUGCAUUCUUCAGUAGCAUUGCACUUCAUUUUACAUUGUUCAGCAUUUGUUUGUUUCUUAUUAAUGCUUUGUCCAUCUCCCUUUCUCUAUUUUAUUUUAGUCCAUUGGGGUGGGUGAUUGAGAGGUAUUUUUCCCACCUUUGUGGUUUCAUAAUAUUGUUUCUUUAUAAAGCAUUCUUCACCCGUAGAUAAGAAUGAGUGAAUUAAGGAUUUUUUUUUUUUUUUACUAUCUUUUCUUUUUUUCAUUCAUUUUAAAUAAAUCAGGGCAUAUAGCUUUUUUCUGCAUGUAUCCAUGGGAUGUUUAUGUACAUGACAUAUUGAGAUGUGCAAAGAUGUUUAAUCCAGGGAAAUAUAUAUUUAAACCAUUUCCAAUAAAAGAAUAAAAUGUGUUUUACGUAAGUAUUAUAAAAACAUUCUAUGAAUUUAUUUGCUUACAAUUUCCAUGUGGAUUUACAUAAAAUCUAGUCACUUUUUUUUUUUCGAUAUCACACCAAUAAAAGAAGAACUCAUUAGAGGAAAAGGUUUUAUGUUUGUUAUAGCAAUCCUGUGGUUCACGAAUGUUGAGACAAUGUGUUUAUUUACUCCACAUACCUACAGAUUCACCAACGUGUGAUAUGAUAAUUGAUACAACAUUGCUGUCUUUUUUUACAUCACAACAUAAAAUUAAAAAUUAAAUAAUUAGGAAAAAGUAGAAUUGAAAUCUAUAUUUAGGGCUUACGUUUCACAUUUCUUAAAUUACAUGUGGGCUAAAAUAGCUUAUAAAUAUAAGCAAUUCUAUAGGGUUUUUUAUUUUUUAAAGAGACCUUAAGUAAUGGGUGCAGCACCUAAUGGUUGUAGUAAUUUUUACACUGUUGAAACAAUUAGUGUAUAUUUUGCCUUUUUGCCUCGUUGCUGAUUAUAUUCCUUGACUUAAUUCAUGUGUUAUGUGAGUUAAAUGUUGAAGAGGGUUGUAUACCCAAUUCAACCUACUUUAUUUCAUAAGAAAUAUAGUCUAAUCCAUUAAUUUGCCAUAUAAAUAUAAUAUAUUAAUUAUUUGUUGAUCAUUGAGAUUGGGAAUAUAUGAAUUUAUAUUUUUAUUAAAUUUCUAUUUGUUAUUUUGUAUACUAUAAUGGCCUGAUUAUAGGACACAUAGCCCCCUAAAAAAUAUAAUUACAAUAAAUAAAUAAAUAACAUAUGGUAGCAUUCUACAAAUCCCACCGCCCGUUCCAUGUUAUUAUUAAAUAUUACCAAGUUUAUGUAUAUAGUCAUUAAUGUAAUGCAGCAUAUAAUUGUGUCUUUAUGGUAAUUAUGGUUUUAGAUACCCGCAACAUAGUAUUCUAUUAAAUACAGUUUCAUAGACUACAAAUUGUCUAAUGUACACAUUAUUUUGCCCUCAUUCAGAAGCACAGGUUCCCUCGCCAACAUAUUCGCUCACUAUUUUCUUUAUAUGUCCGGGAAUGUGAAGAUGCUUUGAUAAAUAAUUCACACAUUUCUUCCUGUUUGUUCUUAUAUUUUUCUCUUCUUUUCUUUCACCUUUGUCACUUUUCAAGUCACUAUAUGAAUAGAUUGUAGAGUAUAACACAUUAUGUGAUUCCUCUAAAUCCACUCAAAAGAUUUAAAACAAUUAUUUAAACAUAUUUACUUAUUUACUAUACUACGUAAAAAUGCAAACAUUUUCAUAUAAUUACUUUUUUUUUAAAUUUCAUUUGCUACCUGCAAGCAGGUAUUCAUGCUUUCUAGUAAUAGAAAAUUAUUCUAUAUUAUUAUAAAUAUUUUGUUUUAUUGCAGUCAACUUCAAGCUAAGAACCCAUUGAAUUCUUUAUUUUAAGGCAUUAUUGUCAUUUUUUAGUGAACAUUUAAAUGCCAUGUGUGUGAAAAUAUAUGUGUUAAGAUUAAACUUUAAUUUCUGUUUAAUGGUUUAUUGAGUGUCUAGUUAUUGGAUUUAAUGAAACUCUAAUUUAAAAUUAACAACCUCACAAUAAAGAUUACAAUAAAGAUCCUAUAUAUGUAUAUUAAAGGACAAAAACAAAUAAAUAUGGAUAUAUAUGAGCCAUCUUAAUAGAUCCCCUUAAUACAUCCAAUAACUACACAAAAGGUUUCAUGUGCUUUCUAUUUUUUCUGGGUCCUUUUAAUUACUGGUACAAAUUGUUUUUGGGGAUUAAAAAUAGAUGCAGAGCAUAUUAAACUAUAACCACUGGCUGAAAAGGUUAGGAUUAUCUGAAAGGCUGGUUUAUUAUUAACGAUCAAUAAUAGGGUUGAAUGGGCCCUGAGUUUAAAAUAUAUGCUGCAUAUAUUUGUAUAACAUGCGUACUCUUUUAUUUAAAUAUCAUUAGACCUGACCUUGGGAAUUUUCGAAUUUUCAAAUUUUCUAAAGGUGUUUCUUAUUGUUGUAUGUUAUUAUUUUUUUUUUUCAUUUUUUUUUUUCUUCUUUUUUUUGACAAAAAAAAAUUGUAUAUUGAAAUUAUACUGUGCUUUAAAAGCAUUUUGGAAAUGGCAUAGGGAGUGUGGAACAUCUCAAUAUGCCAAUGUAUUAUAAAAUGUCAAUGUUUAUUCUUUAUUAAGCAAUAUGCACCAGCAAAAAAGAAAUAAAUUAGAUUUUGUUAUAAAUCUUUUUAUCGCUAACCCCUCCCCUAAAAAAAAAAAUAGAAAAACAAAAAAAAUUUAGGCCUGAGAAAUUUUCUGAGAAUUUUGACCUCUGUCUUAAACACAAAAUAUUUUUUGUUUGUUCAUUGUGCAUGUUCAUUUCUGCCCACAAACUUGUCUUUGUCUAUUUUUAUUGCAUUGAAGAAUAAAAAUAUCAGACAGUAAAUAUGUCUGUUACAUCUAAACUUGAAUAAUAAAAUUUUACCACCAGUUAUGAAAA
Molecule: long non-coding RNA, 3757 nt
Filed under: Pelobates cultripes (western spadefoot toad)
Lineage: Eukaryota; Metazoa; Chordata; Amphibia; Anura; Pelobatidae
Source: RNAcentral